CAUAGCGACUAUCGUGGCAUAUCAAUAAGCGGAGGAAAAGAAACUAACAAGGAUUCCCUUAGUAACGGCGAGUGAAGCGGGAAGAGCUCAAAUUUGAAAUCUUCAAGGUUUUACCUUGACGAAUUGUAGUUUAAAGAAGUGUUUUCUGUUAGUGGAGUGGCAAAAGUUCUUUGGAAUAGGACAUCAUAGAGGGUGAGAAUCCCGUAUUUGGUCAUUCUUUCUAGCUUUGUGAUACACUUUCAAAGAGUCGGAUUGUUUGGGAAUGCAGUCCAAAAUGGGUGGUAAAUUUCAUCUAAAGCUAAAUACUGGCGAGAGACCGAUAGCGAACAAGUACCGUGAGGGAAAGAUGAAAAGAACAUUGAAAAGAGAGUUAAACAGUACGUGAAAUUGUCAAAAGGGAAGCGUUUGACACCAGUGUUGUUUUCUCGAAAAUCAAUUAAAAAUGAUGGGAAUUUUGUGUUGUAUUGACUUUAUCAGCUUUCUGCACUUUUUUCCUUAUCUUUUUUAAUGCACUUUUCGUUUAACAAGUCAACAUCAAUUUCUUUUGUUGUAAAAGAGUCAUUGGAAGGUGGCUUUUCUUUCGGAAAAAGUGUUUAUAGCCUUUGGCUUCUGCAAUCGGAGAGAUUGAGGUCUGCAGCGUAGAUCCCUCGGGGUUAGAUACAUUUGUGCUAAGCUAUAGUUCUUUAUAGACAACUUGUUGACUAUAAUCAAUCCUGUAACUUACUCGCUUAUGCUAUUUUACCUACGCUUAGGAUGUUGACGAGACUGUCGAUCUC
Molecule: ribosomal RNA, 776 nt
Filed under: uncultured Neocallimastigales
Lineage: Eukaryota; Fungi; Neocallimastigomycota; Neocallimastigomycetes; Neocallimastigales
Description: partial large subunit ribosomal RNA
Rfam family: Eukaryotic large subunit ribosomal RNA (bases 5-695)
Source: RNAcentral